AAAUUGAAGAGUUUGAUCAUGGCUCAGAUUGAACGCUGGCGGCAGGCCUAACACAUGCAAGUCGAGCGGUAGCACAGAGAGCUUGCUCUCGGGUGACGAGCGGCGGACGGGUGAGUAAUGUCUGGGAAACUGCCUGAUGGAGGGGGAUAACUACUGGAAACGGUGGCUAA
This 170-nucleotide ribosomal RNA is filed under the name Klebsiella pneumoniae. Its description in RNAcentral is "partial 16S ribosomal RNA". It matches the Rfam family "Bacterial small subunit ribosomal RNA", at positions 1 to 166 of the family's 1533-position model. The record is from RNAcentral. Lineage: Bacteria; Pseudomonadati; Pseudomonadota; Gammaproteobacteria; Enterobacterales; Enterobacteriaceae.